This 485-nucleotide ribosomal RNA is filed under the name uncultured bacterium. Its description in RNAcentral is "partial 16S ribosomal RNA". It matches the Rfam family "Bacterial small subunit ribosomal RNA", at positions 29 to 506 of the family's 1533-position model. The record is from RNAcentral.
AUUGAACGCUGGCGGCAUGCCUUACACAUGCAAGUCGAACGGCAGCACGGGUGCUUGCACCUGGUGGCGAGUGGCGAACGGGUGAGUAAUACAUCGGAACAUGUCCUGUAGUGGGGGAUAGCCCGGCGAAAGCCGGAUUAAUACCGCAUACGAUCUACGGAUGAAAGCGGGGGACCUUCGGGCCUCGCGCUAUAGGGUUGGCCGAUGGCUGAUUAGCUAGUUGGGGGGGUAAAGGCCUACCAAGGCGACGAUCAGUAGCUGGUCUGAGAGGACGACAAGCCACAUGGGAACUGAGAAACGCCCCAACCCCCCAGGGGGGGAGGAGGUGGGAAUUUUGGGCAAAGGGGCGAAAGCCUGAUCCGGAAAUGCCCGGUGGGGAAAAAGGGCCUUCGGGUUGAAAAGCACUUUUGUCCGGAAAAAAAUCCUUGGCCCAAAAACGGUCGGGGAAUGACGGAACCGGAAAAAAAAGCCCCGGCAAACUACGG